UAGGUUGUAUGUAUGGAAUGAUGUGA
Molecule: non-coding RNA, 26 nt
Filed under: Mus musculus (house mouse)
Lineage: Eukaryota; Metazoa; Chordata; Mammalia; Rodentia; Muridae
Source: RNAcentral